This 1174-nucleotide long non-coding RNA is filed under the name Strigops habroptila (Kakapo). RNAcentral describes it as "lncRNA (ENSSHBG00005000214.1)". The record is from RNAcentral. Lineage: Eukaryota; Metazoa; Chordata; Aves; Psittaciformes; Psittacidae.
UUUUUCCUGCACCUUUGUGUCAGACUCUCUCUGGUGCUGUUCUCUGCUGCUGGUUCUUUCCCGCCCUCCCUCAGCAGCUGCAGAUUAAAGUUGGCCUGGUUCGUGUAGGUUUUUCACUGCUGCUACUCACUUAAUAGCAACAGUGAAAAUUUCUCACUUUUAGGUCUGUUGAACAUAUGGAAAACUGUGAGAAUUCCAGGGUCUGUAUUUCCAAAAGGGAACAAUACAUUGAGCUGCAUUGGGCAGGCUCUUCAAGCUCAAACAGCAGAGGACCAGGACAUCCUUUAUUUUGAACGUCAGGCCAUGAAAAUUAUAGGUCACUUCUGCUAAUUUAGGCCUGGAGGUGAAUUGACUGAGACGGUAGGAAGCUGUUACAUCCAGUUUAUUGGUGAGUUUCUCAGAAACCGUAGAAGUUUUGAAAUCCUUCACGAAUUUAAGAAAUGUUUUUUGGAAGUUAAGGACAUGGACAUCUCUCUCUUACCUGAAAACUGAAGUUAAGUAUUAGUCAGGUAAACUGUUUAAGCCCUUUAUUAUUUUAUUUUAAAAAAUGAGAUUGUUGAGUUGGGUUUCUUUAAAAGCCCAUUUGCCUUCUGUACACUGGCAUGCAGAGUAAAAGAGGGAUUUAUUUUUCUUCUGCUAAUAAGGUUGCUUGCACAGUCACAAGCUAAUAUUUAGGAGUUGAUGUGUUCAAGGAAAAAUCUGCUUUUGCAUAGCAUCAUCUUCGUGUCACUCAGCUGAACUAUGGCUGCUCCCUAGUUCUGCUUCUUGUAUACUUUUCAAAUCAACUGCCAAGAAAAUUUCACCCAGAUGUUUCUUACAAGGAGUUUAAUCAGCAGUGUGGAGUCAGGAAUCUUUGUUGUCUAUUUUGCAGUGGGGGUCAGAGGUGUCUGAGGGGAUGGCAUGUAAAAAGGUUAAAUGCCCUUCCCUUCCCAGGAGAUUCAUGAGCAAAUGUUUCUACUGGCAAAAGCAAAUGUUAAUUAUUUUAUUCCUUUUUUUUGAAAAGGGUUUUCAUCCAAAAAGAUUUAUUGGGCUCUAGCCUCCACUUUAACAUAUGGUUCUCUUUUAACAUGAUAAAUAUCCGUUUGUACAUGAUCAUAAAUAGGUAAUGGAUUUUAGGGAUUUCUUUCUGACCUGUGUCCAGCUUUGUACUACAUUAAAGGGAGAGUAACACAAA